GACUGGAGGUCUUGACUUCCUGUCUCCUGGAGCUAAGGAGAGUUAAGAUACCUUAUCUCUGUUCCUGCAUGGAUAAAACCUACAUUGAAGUGACAUUAAAGUAUUCCUCUCUGCUGAGAAGAUUAACCUGAAGAUCUGUGAACAGCAAGCUUAAACUAAGCACAGACAGUCUUGGUGAGGGCCUGAGGCAAACUCCAGCCUGGCCCAGUGAAGAAUGUCUUUGUCUUUGAAGAAUGUCUCUAUGUCUUUGGUGAAGACCUCAGGGUUCCUUGGCAAUUCAUUUUCAUUUGUUCUCUUCUCAUUUGAUCAUAUUUAAUGCAAUUCUUCUGGAAUGGGAAGAGGAAGAAUAAAAGAAAAAGAAAAGAGCAAAAAAAGAAAAAGAUCCAUGAUUCCUUAGGUGGGAAGGGAGAUUGAAGUCCUGAAUGAUUCUUUUUGUUCCCAGUUUGACUUUUCUUGUCAGAUAUUCUGUAGUGGUUUGCCAUUUCCUUCUCCGGUUGAUUUUACAGAAUGGACUAGGUUCCCUUCUCACCUCUGGCACAUAAUGACUUCAAUAUACUGAACAAGUCACUGAAACACUUGGGAAUACAAGAGUUUUGACACCAGGAAAAAAUCUUCCAAAACAUUUGGAAUUGUUCACAAAUUAAAUAAGCUUCCUAAAAGGUAACAAAUGGGUUCCAUUUCUUGGGGAUUUUUAAGCUAAGAUUAAAUGCUCCUUUGGUAGGUAUAUUAUAGUGGAGAUUCCUUUCAUAUAUGGAUCAUACAUAAAGUCUACUGAGAUUCCUAGAACUCAAAUUCUGUAAGUCUAGUAAACUGUACCUUGAUAAAAGUCUUCUCAUCUGUAAUUCCCUGAAGUAAUGAAAUCAGAAAUCCAGAUUAAAAACAAAUUAAGGACAAAACAAAACAUUUUAUAAAUAU
This is a long non-coding RNA of Monodelphis domestica (gray short-tailed opossum), 915 nucleotides long. RefSeq lists it as uncharacterized. The record is from RefSeq and is a predicted model, not a curated record. NCBI's taxonomy places the organism in Eukaryota, Metazoa, Chordata, Mammalia, Didelphimorphia, Didelphidae.